GAACUUAAGAGUUUGAUCCUGGCUCAGAUUGAAAGCUGGCGGUAUGCUUUACACCUGCAAGUCGAACGGGCUUGGGGGCUUGCUCCUGAGUUAGUGGCGAACGGGUGAGUAAUAUAUCGGAACAUAUCCGGAAGUGGGGGAUAACGUAGCGAAAGUUACGCUAAUACCGCAUACGAUCUAAGGAUGAAAGCGGGGGAUCGCAAGACCUCGCGCGAAUGGAGCGGCCGAUGUC
Molecule: ribosomal RNA, 232 nt
Filed under: Candidatus Planktophila sp.
Lineage: Bacteria; Bacillati; Actinomycetota; Actinomycetes; Candidatus Nanopelagicales; Candidatus Nanopelagicaceae
Description: partial 16S ribosomal RNA
Rfam family: Bacterial small subunit ribosomal RNA
Source: RNAcentral